UAAGGCCGCAGCUUCGUGGCUAAAAAAGGCCCGAGCCCCGCAUGACGCAGACACAGCAGGAGCGUGUGGCAGGAGCACAUUCACAAUGACCCAGAAACCUCCCCGCGCUGGCGCAGCUCAGACCGGGUUAUUUUUAGUUCCUGGUGGGGGUCUGAAUGGGAGCCUUCGGGAGAGGGGGAGGCCGCUGUGCGAGGGAGGUGCAGCCCAGAACCGGGCAAGUGCAAAGUACCAUCAGCGGCAAAGGGACAAAGGCGGCCUUGGUGAGUGGGGGGCGGCUGUGACCCCACCUGCAUUACAGAGACUCGCAGGGCAGAAAGCAAAAAAAGCAUCUAUCGCAGUCUCAGAGAAAGGGCAACUCCCGCCAGACAACGUCCCCGGAGGAGGGCGAACCACAGACUGAAAAACACCAGGUAUUUAAGAAGUUGGGGUUCCUCCAUUCAUGGCUGGAGAAUGGCGGCUGGCCAGUGGAUGCUGGACGCUGGAUUCUUUGGGUCCUCCAGCCCUGGGACCAAUAUGGAUUCCUUGGUCCCAGUAUACUUAUCUCUGUCUGACUGGAUAAUCUGAGACAAGAGUCCUGUCCAGUCAAUCUUACGCUCCCAUUAAUAAAAUAUUAAAAACUCUCUAA
This is a long non-coding RNA of Antechinus flavipes (yellow-footed antechinus), 625 nucleotides long. RefSeq lists it as uncharacterized. The transcript has 2 exons. The record is from RefSeq and is a predicted model, not a curated record. Lineage: Eukaryota; Metazoa; Chordata; Mammalia; Dasyuromorphia; Dasyuridae.